AAUUAUGAUAAUUUUAAAGUUUGAUGAUUGUGCACAGUCAUGCUUGUCUGAAUGUGAAUUACUCCCGUUUUUCAGUAGGCCUUAAAGGAGCGGUGUCAAGGUUUUCCACAGCAGCUACAUGUUUCAGCCAUAUCAGAAUCAAAGCUUAAAAUACAAUAUCAGAUGACGUUUUCUGAAUCUUCUGGGUAAUUCUGGUGGGAUAUUAUGGCAAUGUCAAGGGCAAAGCCCAGUUCUAUCGUACAUUUGAGGACCCUUGCAGCCAGGUGCAAAUGUUGGUGCACGAUCCUUUGCUGUGUGCCAUGUACAGAGGACAACGUUGGAUCUAAUCACUUCUUAGAUUUCCUAAAAAUGACUGCUGACUCUAGAUGCUUUCGGAAACAUGAAGUAGGUUUCCCAUCUUCCAAGUCACUUGCAUUGUUGAAAUUUGAAUAUCUGACUAACAUGAAAUUUUCUGCCGCGAAGUAUUUGAGCCCAUAGUUUUGAGUUAUCUUUUAGAUACCAAAAAUCUCCUUUUUCUGCUAACCAAUGAUUUUCUCUAGGUUGUUGCAUGAAUCUAGAUAGGACUCCAACAACAAAAGAAAUUCCCAUUCAUGUUGUCGUUGCAUAGCUGCAGGUAUUUAGUUGUAUUGACAAAGGCUGCAAAAUCAUCUGAUGUUAGUUUGAACAUUGCUUCACAGAUGUACUAAGUGGUUUGUUACUGAACAUUUUAAAUUUGCUUAGAAGUUCAUUAAUAUAUUUUUGU
Molecule: long non-coding RNA, 742 nt
Organism: Cryptomeria japonica (Japanese cedar)
Lineage: Eukaryota; Viridiplantae; Streptophyta; Pinopsida; Cupressales; Cupressaceae
Exons: 3
Source: RefSeq, a predicted model, not a curated record